AUGGACAUGAGGGUCCCUGCUCAGUUUUUUGGGAUCUUGUUGCUCUGGUUACCAGGUGCCAGAUGUGAUGUUCACAUGACCCAAUCUCCAUCCUCCAUGUCUGCAUCUCUGGGAGACAAAGUUACUCCUACUUGCUGGGCAAGUCAGAACAUUAGCAGGUAUUUAAGCUGGUUGCAGCAGCAACCAAGGAAAUCUCCUAAGGUCCUGAUCUACGGUGCAACCAUCUUGGAAGAUUGGGUCCCAUCAAAGUUCAGUGGCAGUGGUUCAAGGGCAGAUUAUUCUUUCACCAUCAGCAACCUGGUGUCUGAAGAUUUUGGAACUUAUUACUGUCUACAGUAUCUUCAUUUUCCACCCAGAGUAAUACAAGUUUUUACAUAA
Non-coding RNA from Rattus norvegicus (Norway rat), 378 nucleotides. NCBI's taxonomy places the organism in Eukaryota, Metazoa, Chordata, Mammalia, Rodentia, Muridae. The record is from the annotation of a RefSeq genome assembly.